Molecule: ribosomal RNA, 510 nt
Filed under: uncultured bacterium
Lineage: Bacteria
Description: partial 16S ribosomal RNA
Rfam family: Bacterial small subunit ribosomal RNA
Source: RNAcentral
GACGAACGCUGGCGGCGUGCUUAACACAUGCAAGUCGAACGAAGAGCGAUGGACGCUUGCUUCUAUCAAUCUUAGUGGCGAACGGGUGAGUAACGCGUAAUCAACCUGCCCUUCAGAGGGGGACAACAGUUGGAAACGACUGCUAAUACCGCAUACGAUCUAAUCUCGGCAUCGAGGAAAGAUGAAAGGUGGCCUCUAUUUAUAAGCUAUCACUGAAGGUGGUGAUUGCGUCUGAUUAGCUAGUUGGAGGGGUAACGGCCCACCAAGGCGAUGAUCAGGAGCCGGUCUGGGAGGAUGAGCGGCCACACUGGGACGGAGACACGGCCCAGACGGGUACGGGAGGCAGCAGUGGGGAAUCCGGCGCGAUGGAGGGGAGUCUGACGGAGAAACGCCGAGUGAGUGAUGACGGCCUUCGGGUUGUGGAGCUCUGUUAAUCGGGACGAAAGGCCUUCUUGCGAGCAGUGAGAAGGAUUGACGGUAACGUAAUAGAGAGCCACGGCUAACUAAGUG